This 77-nucleotide transfer RNA is filed under the name Ptyodactylus guttatus (Sinai fan-fingered gecko). RNAcentral's name for it is "tRNA-Glu". Lineage: Eukaryota; Metazoa; Chordata; Lepidosauria; Squamata; Phyllodactylidae. The record is from RNAcentral.
GUUCCUGUAGUUGAGUAACAACGUUGGUUUUUCGAAUCAAAGGUUCUGGUAGCAUAAAAUGUACCCAGAUAGGAAUG